AUGCAGAGAGAGGACCCGACUGUUUAUGUCAAAGUAGCAAGCAAAGCCCUGCAGUGCUGGGGACAAGCCGCGCACCCAGAAACCGAAAGCACCGUCCCACCAGCUGCGGAGAGGCUGGACCAGAUCACUGCUACCUGCUUCUGUCCUUCCAGCCUGGUCCUUCUCACUCUGAGAACUGUGUUCUCUGCUAACUCAACCCCCUCAGUUCAAACAUCCACCACCACACCACCACCACCACCAUCAUCACCACCAGCAUCACCAGCAUCACCAGCAUCACCACCACUGCUACCACAAACCCCACAAAGCCACAGAACUCCUUCAGCAAGUACACCUUCCUGUAUCUGAGACUGGAUGACGUAUGUUUCCUGAGUUCUCCCAUCAUAGCCUUAUUCCAUGUUUUUAUCCCAUCAUAGCCUUAUUCCCUGUUGAAUGCCUCUUUCUCCUCCUGAGCUGUAAGAAUUGGAAGAAUAAAAGGCUUCUUUGGUCUUGAAGUCAUCAUUGCCUGGAUGGCUCCGGCAUAGAACCUGCCACACAGUAGGUGCUCAGAAACAUUUGCUGAAUGAAUGAAUGAAUGAGUGAGUGAGUGAGUGCCUGAAUGAAUAACCACGCAGCAUCCUCUCCAUGAGACUUUUUCCAGAGAAAUCCUCGUGGAAUCCCAAUAUUAAGAGCAGACAAGCUGCAGAGGAAGUAGUUUUUCCUGAGCAAUUGCCAUUCAUCUAAUGGCCAUCAUAAUUCUUACAAAUCAAACAUUUCAUUUUUGCAUUAAGUGCUAGCAAGUGCUGGGCUUAUUUGUGACCCAGCACAGCCCGUGUGUAGGUUUUUACGAUGUGCAAUCAAGCUUGAUUCCUCCUGCUACUUUCUUUCAUUAUUAUUUGUCUAAUUUUUAUUAUGCACUUAUCAUUUUAUAACACUUGUAAACUCUUUUUGGCCAUUUUAUGAAUUCUUUUUCUUAGUGCUUUUCUUUUCAAAAACUUUUCAUUAAACACAACUCAAAGCAAGUACAGGUGUGGAGAGAUGUGUGUAAGGGACCCCAGGUGCUCAUCUCCCAGUUUAAGCAGUCCUCAACAUGAAACCAAUCUCGUUCUCCUCCCCGCUGCUGCAUGUCCACUCUGAUUAUUGUGAAGCAAAUUUCAGAGAGUAUAUACAUUAUAAACAUCUUAGAUGAUUCUCUAAAGAGUAGAGGCUUUUAAAAAUAUGACUUCAAUAUUCUUAUGCUUAAAAAUAAAAAAUAAUCUCUUAUUACCAAGUAUUAUUGUUUACAUUUUGCAAAUUGCCAUUUCUUUAACAGGUUUUUUUUUUUUUCAAUCUAAAAUCCUAAUAAAGUGUGCACAGAACUGCUUAGUAGCACUCUCAUGUCUCUUUCGACCUCUUCACUCCCCAUCUAUGUAUUUCCUUUUGUGCUUGAAACUUCCUGGGGAAGAACUGGGCCACUGGUCUUGCAGAGAGUCCCACAGUCUGGAUCUUGCUGACUGCAUCCACAAAAUGCUGUCUACCGAGUUUCUGUGUUCCCUACAUUCUUUGCGAAUUGACAGGUAAUUUUAGAGACUUGGCCAAAUUCAAGUUCUGCUUUUUUGGCAAGAUUGCUUCAUAGGUCCAUCCACAGUAGUUAGAUUUGUGUUUAAUUUAGUCCCCCUCUCUGUCUGUCCCUUUUUUGCUGUCAAAUUCUCUCCAACUUCCCUGCCCUGCUCUACCCAUGCUGGGUGCAGCAAGUCCUCUCUCUCUCCCCAUCCUUACAUCUCCCUUUCCCACUGUCUCAUAUUGAAUAACUUUGGAUGGGCCUCAAUCCCAAUGCUUUUGGAUGCUAUUUUUAAGGGCAAUGCAUCUUCCAUAUUUUCAGAGUGCAGGUGGUCGUUUUGCAGCUUCCCGAGCCUGAUGGCCCUUGCAUGCCUCCCGCUGUUGUGUUCGGGGCACUUGUCUGGUCCUUCCCUUUCACUUGCUGCUCUUGCCCCACCUGCCCCAUGGGGAUUCUAAGUCCUGUAGGAUUUUAUCCAGGAAGCCGCAUUGUUUGGUGCAGCCCUCUGGCUUCAGCCCCACUCAGGUGGGGUGAAUUCCAGGGUGAGCCCCUGGGGUCCUCCCGUCUCAGGGCUGCCCAAGCCCCCACUGACUAGUGAUGCCUGUCUCCCUGAGGUGACCCUGCACCUCUAUGGCUGUGGGUGCUGUGGUUCCACAUAUUUUGGGUUCAUAGGGGACACUCUGCCACAUGCUUGCUGCCCACGUUGCCCUUCGGGUUCAGGUUUUGCCAUCAUCACUGCUCUGCCCGCUCAUUAUUAUGGGAUUCUAGAAUAUUUAAAUACCACAUCUUUGCUGCUUCAUCUUUCCAGAAUCCUUUUAAGCUAUCCAAACUCCUUUUGGAUGGAGGAAGGUAAUAAAACAGGUAAAUAAAUAAAAUACAGGGCUCUCCCUCAUAUGAGCUAUGAUAAAAAAUAUUGUGAAUGCUGACUUUUCACAAAAGACAUAUUGUGCUAAUCCCCUUCACAAUACUGCUCCUUGUCUGAAUACACUUGCUCUCGCCAAACAUCAAGCAGUAGUCUAGCUAGAGUUCUCUGGUCGGGGGUACAGGGCUACCUAAGACUGGGCUUUGAAUUAUUCUGUUUGUUGAAUUUCUGUAACGUUUUACUAAUCCUUAUAUUUUUCCCACUUCCUGUGAAUAGUGAAAAGUGUGAUUGUGACAGUUAACUGAUUGUAGCAACUUGAGUGAGAAAUGCCCAACUAAAUUGGAUCAGCACAGUUCUGGACGUGGCUGAGGGGAUUUACUGGUGACAGAAGACCCAGCCUGGGUAUGAGUGACAGCAACCAAUGGGCUUGUUGCCUGAAUGGAAUAAAAAGGAAAGGAAGAAGGAAGGCAGCUUCCGUUCCUUUGGAGGAGUGCGGUCUUCACCUUUGCCUUGGAUGUCGUCUCCUGGCUUCCAGAGAAGACCCUUCAGCCUCCUGAUACAGACUCACAUGGGACACUGCAGUGAGCCCCAGGCUGCAGUUGGAUCCUUCUGUCUCUAGGGCACAGACACCCUCUGCAAUCUUCCACACCUGAUGCUGCGGGCGGCCACUGUACCCCAAUCUUGUCGAUCCUUAUAUAUUGGUGUACCUUAUAUUAAGUCUAUUUCUCUAGUGAGCACUGAGUGAUAGAGUGAUAUGUAGAGUUUGACCCAACAAUUCCAUGUUAGGUUCUCUCCUACAGAAAUAAAAGCACUUAUGCAUAAAAGUUGUGAUAAACUAAAACUCUUGGAACAUUUCUGACAGUAUCAACACACUGCAAAUAUCUUGACAACACAUCUACUGGGCAGUACUUUAAUAAAAUUUGGUGCCCCUUGCUAUUGCUCUAUACAUUAAAGGCAAAAUUAAAAAUAAAGGUGUAUACGCCAUUCUCUUUUUUAUUUAAAACAUAUCUUGGGCAUCUUCUAGGUGAGCACAUAUAGCUAUUUAUUAUUCUUUAGUACGGGUAUUAUUCUUUAGCUCAUGAGAAUGAGAUUAGAGGAAGGAAGUGAGUGCGGAUUAUUUUCUUCUUAUACAUCUCUCUGUUUGAGUUGUUAAAAUGAUCAUGUAUCACUUUUAUUACUAAAAAUGUCUGAUAAAGAGAAACUUGUGACAGUGUUUGUUCAAAGAGGCCUGACUCCUUAUUUGCAAACAGAAAAAGACAAAGUUGUCUGGAACCAACUCUAAAUAAGAUGAUUCAAGAUGAUAAAACAAUUCAGUGACAAACUGAAGAUGCGACUUCAAACUAAUGAGUCUGCUUUUUGUUUCUACAAAGCUUUCUGUUUUUACAUAUAGAUGAUAGCAUUGGAAUAAUCAUACGGUUCCAGAAUUGAAGAAGGUGACAUUUGAAUUCUUAUGUUCUGGCAUAUAAAAAUACAAACAUCAGUUUGUAUGUACUACUGACACAUUUGCUACACAUUUAUAUCUAUGGGUGUGGGUAAAGAGUGACCCUAAUUUAUGUGAAUUAGGUACAGAGAAAGAGAAUAAAGGCAAAUGUAAUAUGUUCACCAGUGACCCCCGCCACUGGAGGGCCACAGUUCAUUCUAACUUACAAUAUUCUCUGCCAGUCUUUAUUUUUUAAUGUUAAUACACCUUUUUAACUCUCAUUGUUAUUUAUUACUCUGACUAAAGAGUCUUGUGACUCUUCAUUAUUCAGAUGUCAUUUAAAAAUCAUAUUGACAUACUUUCCCUUGUCACACUAGCCUUGUGAGACAAGCAUUUUAAGUGUUACAAGGAGGUGUUGUUACCAUUACAAAGGUUAUUAUAGGAAGGAUAAAAGGACUUCGUUGGGAACAGUAACCCCAUACAUGAGACAAAAAUGUUACACAGUUCUAGAAGCACUGUAACAAGAGUGGAGGGUACAUAAAUGAUGUCGGGUCACUAGAUUAGUGCAGACAAGAGAAGGAAACAUGUGAGCCCAAGUUCCCUCUAUGGACAUAAACUGGGAAAUGCAGGAAUCUGCAGCAUGACACACGGGGACAGAACAGGGUGCAAACAGAUCUUGUGACUGGCUAUCUACAGAGCCCUGGGACUGGGUCCAGCUACUUUGAUCUCUAGAGAAGCAAGGCAGCAUCGUCGUGUAAGGCUAAUUUGGCAGAGUUCAUGGGGAGUGCAGAGUUGGUCCUAACGUGGGCUGCCUGGAUGACCUGCAGGGGUGGGAAGCAGGUCACACGAGGCCUUGGAUGCCUGCCAUUUCCCUACACAGGAACAUUUAUAUUGCUUUGAGAUUUUUUUUUUCUUUUUAAUUCUCUUUUUAUUUUAAAGAGAAAAAAACAAUAACAACAGCAAUGACAAAAACAAAACAACACAAGAGCAAUAAAAAUGAUACAAAAUUUCAAAAACAGAUGAUAGGCAUUAACAGUGGUCAUUGUGUUAUAUAUUAUCUUCACUAAAGGUGCUCAGAUUGCCAGAUGUAAGAAUGCAAGAUUUAUCAAGCAGUUAAAGAGAAUAAAAUGUAAUAAAAAAUAGAAACAAUACAGUGUUUCACUAAACAAGACGGUAGGAAUUCAACAAUGGUUGUUAUAUUGCAUAUUGUUGUCUUCAAAUUAAUUGUUCAGAGUACCAGAUAUAAGCACGUGAAAUUGGUCAAAAAAAUUUAAAGCAUUAACUGUUCCUUUCAAUAAACCAAUAGACAUCAGCAGUACAAUCCCAGCUAUCCUUGU
This 5132-nucleotide long non-coding RNA is filed under the name Chinchilla lanigera (long-tailed chinchilla). RNAcentral's name for it is "lncRNA (ENSCLAG00000026247.1)". The record is from RNAcentral. Lineage: Eukaryota; Metazoa; Chordata; Mammalia; Rodentia; Chinchillidae.